CUACGGGGCGCACCAGUGGGGAAUUUUGCGCAAUGGGCGAAAGCCUGACGCAGCAACGCCGCGUGGAGGAUGAAGGCCUUCGGGUCGUAAACUCCUGUCAGGGGGGAAGAAAACCCCGAAAGGGGUCUGACUGUACCCCCGGAGGAAGCCACGGCUAACUCCGUGCCAGCAGCCGCGGUAAUACGGAGGUGGCAAGCGUUGUUCGGAAUUACUGGGCGUAAAGGGCGCGUAGGCGGCUUGGCAAGUCAGGUGUGAAAGCCCCGGGCUUAACUCGGGAACUGCAUCUGAAACUGCUUAGCUUGAGUUCUGGAGGGGGCAGUGGAAUUCCCAGUGUAGCGGUGAAAUGCGUAGAUAUUGGGAGGAACACCUGCGGCGAAGGCGGCUGCCUGGACAGUAACUGACGCUGAGGCGCGAAAGCUAGGGGAGCAAACGGGAUUAGAUACCCUAGUAGUC
This 453-nucleotide ribosomal RNA is filed under the name uncultured bacterium. RNAcentral's name for it is "partial 16S ribosomal RNA". It matches the Rfam family "Bacterial small subunit ribosomal RNA", at positions 339 to 795 of the family's 1533-position model. The record is from RNAcentral.